RNAcentral lists this ribosomal RNA (253 nucleotides) under uncultured bacterium. Its description in RNAcentral is "partial 16S ribosomal RNA". It matches the Rfam family "Bacterial small subunit ribosomal RNA", at positions 524 to 776 of the family's 1533-position model. The record is from RNAcentral.
UACAGAGGUGGCAAGCGUUGUUCGGAAUUACUGGGCGUAAAGGGCGCGUAGGCGGCCUUGUCAGUCAGACGUGAAAUCCCCAGGCUUAACCUGGGAACUGCGUCUGAUACUACAAGGCUGGAGUUCGGGAGAGGAAUGUGGAAUUCCAGGUGUAGCGGUGAAAUGCGUAGAUAUCUGGAGGAACACCGGUGGCGAAGGCGGCAUUCUGGACCGAAACUGACACUGAUGAGCGAAAGCCAGGGGAGCAAACGGG